Molecule: long non-coding RNA, 515 nt
Organism: Pezoporus occidentalis (night parrot)
Lineage: Eukaryota; Metazoa; Chordata; Aves; Psittaciformes; Psittacidae
Exons: 4
Source: RefSeq, a predicted model, not a curated record
UGUUAGGGGAGAAGCUGCUGCCCGAACAGUCACACACCAUUCAAGUUGUUGCAUACAUACCACCUGAGACUUUAAUUGCUGGAACAGGAGUUCCUCUGCAGCAGGUGGCUCCAUUUUUUUAACAGGCAGGCCGAUAGGAAAUGAUUUCCCCACGGGACAGAGCUAGAGGCCAGAGUGAACUUUCCACACCAUUUCAUAGCUAUCCAGGCUAAGAACAGGCAUCAAGCUACAGCAAGGUUCAACAGGAGGUGUACUUAAAUCAUGGAAAAAGCAAGAUCUGUAUCUGCUGGGUGCCAGUAUUCAAAUAACACUCAGAACAAUCUCUGCUGUGCAAUGUACAUAGACACGGCCUUAAUUUUUUAAUCCCUCAUCUGCAUUCUCUAGUACACAAGGCUUUGUUACACAGGAACCUGUCAGCUUUCUCUUUGGACUGUACCAUCCCACCAUCUGCAGAUGGGACUGGGUUGCAUCAAGGCUGCCUUGUGCUCAGGUAUCCCCUAGUGAUUCAGACUGUC